Molecule: long non-coding RNA, 3504 nt
Organism: Manis javanica (Malayan pangolin)
Lineage: Eukaryota; Metazoa; Chordata; Mammalia; Pholidota; Manidae
Source: RefSeq, a predicted model, not a curated record
AACAUUGCAGACAGAAUGGAAGCCCCACUGGUCCUUCCCCAGGCCCUACAUCCUAACCUUUUUCUAAGACAGUCUCAGCUAUAAAUUUGGUUUUCCUGCAUACGGGUAGAGGAGAGUAAUGGCCAACCCUGAAAUGAAAUGCCUGCGUCCCAGGUGGGCGAUAUUUCCAUUUCAGUUAAAGCUGCGGGGUCACCACCACUGCUAUUUUCCCCCGAAAUACCUCCUAGCACCUUGAGAUGGCACAGCUAAGCACCAGCACAUACCGUAGGACACCUGCUCUGUGCCUGCUGAGUUGGCUCUGGGGAAUGACAGGAAACAGAACCAGCCAAGGCCCUGUAAGACAAACUUACACACAGCACGUUUUCAGAAUCCGAUGAGAAAAGGAUCAUACAAGAGUGGAGUGGAAAAGAGGAGAGGCUUCAUGAAACAGAGAUGACUGGGGUUGGGUCCUGUGGAAGUUGUCAGCCCCGGUGGGCAGGUUUCCAGACAGAAUGACUAGGGUUCUGGCACCUGGGAGAGAAGAGUCGCCUAACUUCGUGAGAGCACACGUAUGCAAAAGGCUGAAUAAAUAUGAGUCCACUAGAUGAAAGAAAUAGAAUAGGCAAAUCUGCAGAGACAGAAAAUAGACUGUGGCUGCCUAGGGUUGAGGGGGUGCUAAAGGGCUUCUUGUUGGGUGAUAAAGUUUUCUAAAAUUAGAUCAAGAUGAUGGCUACCUUAAAUAUGCUAAAUAUACCAAAACCAUUGAACUUGCACUGUACAUGGAUGACUUAUAUGGUAUGUAAUCACAUCUCCAAAAAGUUGUUAAAAAAAGAAUCUAGUCACAGCAUUAUAAACAUAGAAUGAUACAACCUAUAGGAAAGUCAGAAUCUGGCAACAUUAAAAAAUAUAUUAAUUAGGAAUAGGUGACAAAACUAUGCAGAAACUAAGGGAAUAGAGUCAAUCAUGCUGCAAUAACUUUGCAUGGUGACAGAUGGUAACUAGACUUAUUGUGGGGUUCAUUUCCUAAUAUAUAAAAAUGUCAAAUUGCUAUGAUGUAUGCCUGAAACUAAUAGGCUAUUUUAUGUCAAUUACACUUCAAUAAAAAAAAAGAGAAAUCAAGAGAAUGAUUCUGCAAAUGUCAGGGAAGUGUUGGUUCUGAGGCAAGAGGGAAAUGGCUGAGGGGGGAAUGCACGGAAGUCAGUAGCUGACUUACAGACUUGACCUAUCUGUCUUACCAUGAGUAGUGGUUUCACAAGUGUGGCCUUAUAAAAAUAAUUUGUACAUCUAUUAGGAGCACUCUUUUUGAAUAUAUGCCAUGUUUCAAAAUAAAGAAAGAAAAAGGGGAGGAGGAGGCCAAAUGAGAGAUGCGACCAGAGUACUUGGGGACUCACUGUACAGGGUCCAGAGUCCCAGGUGAGCCAUUGGCACUUAACAAAGGAGGUGAUGGAGGGAGCCAGCGAAGGUAUCUGAGCCGGCAGCCAGGCUGACAAAAGAGGUAGUUGAGGAAGGCAUCCAGGCUCUGUAGGCAGAUGGAUGGAGCAAGGAGUGGCCUGAGGUGGGGAGAAGCCCCAGGGGUGAUGAGAACAUAACUGAGCAUGUGCAGUGUGUCAGUGGAGGAGCAGGGCCAGGGGAGAGGGUGAGGAUCCCGGUGCAGAAACUGAAGAUUUUGAAGUAGCAGAGUGAUAAGAUCAGUUUCUACUUGUGCCUAAGGAGCAUUUACAGUGUGCCAAGAGUCCUUCAAUCUUUUCCUGUAUUUUACCUCAUUUAAUCUUUUCAGUGCUUCUCGGAGGGAAGGUGUAGAGGUGAUCUGUUCACCCAACUAUCUUUCCAUCAUCCAUCCAUGUAACCAGUCAUCUAUCCAUCCAACAACUUUUUAAAAAGUGGAAGACAGCUUUGUGCUAGUCGUUCUGUUCAUGUUCUUCAGGCGGAGAAGAAAAUGGCAGGGUCCUCACUCCUAGAAGGUCAAAUCAAUUCCUUAAAGGCUGCAACUAGGAAAAGGCUUGGCCAGGAUUCCUGUCCAGGAAGGCAGAGUCCGGGGCCUGGGCUUUUCCACUGGGCCAGAGGCAUUGUUCAGUUUUCCUCUCGAGAUGGAACUACAGGUUCUGGGUGGAAUCUAAAAGUAAGAUCAGCCAUUUUGAAGUAGGAAUUGAUGUUGAGUAAGCUGAGGGCGUUGAUGAGGCCAGUACAGAUGAGGUGAAUAGGAUAAAAGGCAAAUAUGCAAAUGGCUUGGCAGACCUGGUUACCUGCUAUUUCUCUGCUUUCUUUCUUGCUAACAGAACUCUGAUUUUGUGGGGGCAAAGUGUGGGGGAGCCACGAUUUAUCCAGCUCCCAGGGAUGAAUUGUGAUUGGAUUAAGCCAGUCAUGGCUAAGCUAAUUCCAUUUGCGAGGCACUCACUUUUGCUGCCACCUUUGCAGCUCUUUUAGGGGCUGUAUGACCAAGUUUCAGUCACUGAGAUGAAGGGGAGAUCUGUUGAGAGCUUGUAAAAAAUAUCUUUGAUUCCUCUGAUGUAAGACAGGAGCAUUAGCCCUCUGUAUCUGGCUGCCUCACCGCAUCCUGACUUUGAAUGAAGCCAUAAUUCCUGGGGCUGUGGCAGCCAUCUUGUGAUGAUGAAGCAACAGACACAAAGACAAAAAGCCAACAAAUAGAGGGAGGCAGGGUGGAAAGAGCUGAGUUCUUAAUGAGCUUGAGCAGCUAAACAAAAGGCAGCAAUGGCUUCCCUCCAGAGUUCUUAAUAUGUGAAAAAAGGAACCCCCUAGGAAUUUACAUUUUUUCAUUAGCUCUAAAUGACCAUGGGCUAACUGCUGUAAUAAGCACAGCAAGAAAGAGACAGGAAGGAGAGGAUAAUUUAUUUGGAGCAUAGGGUGAUAUGUAGGGCACCAGUAGGGAACAUUGCUUUAUUUUCUAACUAUGUGUUGUAAAUCUUGAAGACAGAGUCACCUUUCCUUUUCUGUUUUUUUUUUCCACGUCCCAUUUGUACUCACCUAACCUCUCACCUUUCCUUUAGCCCACAUUAAGCCCAUGUGCCCCAUGACUAUGGGUUUGGUACAAAGAAAGUUUACCUUUGUUGAUUCUCAUUUAUCAAGCUAUGGAAAAAAUUCCAGGGCAGAGGGCGGAGACCUACAGUCUUCCAUUGUGCACUGGAGGUCUUUUACAGAUGCUUGGCUUACCAAUUUGUUUAGUGCCCAGAAGGGAGGCUGGUAGUUUAGAAAUUUACAUGGUUCUUUGAGAAGGAAAAAGACCUGGAGCAGAAAAUGUCCUGAAAGAACUUGGAGCGGGGAGGAGGGCAGUUGUAAAAAUAAAAUGACAAAGACAAUAGAAGAAAGGGAAAGAAAGGAUGAAAGAGUCUUUUGUAUCACUGUGGCAUUUCAGUGCACUAACAAGUUAUCCUCAGUAAAGCCCCCCAUCACCCACCACCCCCUCCUACUUAACACACACUUUCUGCCCAAAUCCCAACGGUGGACUGAUGUCUCUAUCAGUGAAGAUAUAUUUCUGAGAUAUCUAAUUUUUUUUACAUUAAAUAUGUA